AUUUGGUUUUCGCUAACCGCAAGUACUGAGGGAGAGAUUAAAUAUCCAGCACGCAACCGCGCUGUUGCCAGAUUUACAUAUUUUCUAUUAGCGGGAAUUUUAAAAUCUCGAAUGCGAGUUGGUUUAAAAUUUGACAGUUGUGUUUUCUCGAAUCGGAAUCUUAACCUUACUUUUGUGAUUAUUUAUUUACAAAUAUGUAAAUAAAUUCAAACAAGUAUUGUAUGUACCUACUGUGUUAUAAUUUAAAGCUCUUAAUUAUGUUAGUCUUUAAAAAAAAUGAAGCCCACAAAAAUACACUUGUUUACAGUGCAAAUGAUUUUUUAAUGGAAAUAGGGAUUUAGGAUUUCAUUUGCAGGAAAAACAUGGGCAACCUACCCAGUUCGUAAAAUUGCAAUUCAAAAACUCUUUAGAUUUUACUGUCUGGAUGGCACAGGAAGAGACACAAAAUAAUAUUCAGUACUGCAAUCACAGGAGUACAUAGAGUACGUAGAGAUAUAAGAAAACAGCUGUUCAACAUCACCUGACACCGUUUAGUUUUUAGAAAAUGAAAAGUCUUUAGGUUGAAUGCGAUCUGCAGUAUCUUGCAUUGCUACAUAAUGAAUGUGUUUAUAUAUGGUAUUUUUUAUUGAAUAAUCUAUACAGGAACAACUAAAUGAAUGUAUACAUAUAUUGCAGACAUUGCAUUUAGUUUUUUAGAGCAGCAAGUUUUUUUGUGUUUCAACAAGGUAUUCAGUUUUUUUUUCUUUUAGUAUAUACACAUUAUUAUCUUGUAAAAUAGCAAGCUAAUACAGUUCGGUAUCUAGACGUUAUGGAGCAUUCAACAGGUUUACCUUUUUUAAGCUUUAUAACCCUUUCAACAGUUUUAUUCCUUAAAAACAAUAACAACUGAUUUUCAAUGGUCAUAUUAUUGGUAUUUUAAUUCCAUAAUCCUUCCUAUAACAAUAGGUGCAUUGUUGGAAGUUAUUACAGUAGUUCUGCUGGAAAUACUUACCAAAAUUGUAUGUAUCUGCAUCAUUUAGAAUUUUACCCAAACACCUAUUAAUACUCUAUCUGAAUCUAACAUGUAUUGCAGCUCUUUCAAUGUCUUGUAUACAUAGGAUUUUUUCAGAAUCAGAUAUUUCAUUAAGAUUUACUUGCCAUGCCUUGUCUAUGUACCAGGGACAUAACAGUCUAUUAGGAACAGAACCCAUUACAUUCAGGCAUUGUAAAAAGUGUUAGUUAUGUCUGAUAUGAAAACAUUUGACUAUAUAAUACCAGCACACUCAUGUAUUUUUUCAAAAAAAGUUGGUAAAUAAAAGUAUUUUUUAUGAGCCCAUGAGUUCCAUUAGUUGCGAUAAGCGAUUUACCAAACUUAAUUAAUAUUUCCUUUUGCACAGUAUUCAUGGAAACACAUAAGACAAAAAUCAUUAUUGUUUAAUUCGGGAGGAUUAUCAAUAAUUGAAUCGUUUAUUUCAGAAAGGGGUCAAGUCACAAGUAUCCACUUUUGAGAAAAUAAAGUUUACACACUGUUUACAUUCAACAAACAAUCACAUUAUAUAAAAUAAAAAUUCUACCUAGCAACCUGGAGUAUUUGUUAAAAAAUGUUGUAUUUUUUAAAAAUGUAUCUUGUUAAAUUGUU
Molecule: long non-coding RNA, 1618 nt
Filed under: Diabrotica virgifera virgifera (western corn rootworm)
Lineage: Eukaryota; Metazoa; Arthropoda; Insecta; Coleoptera; Chrysomelidae
Description: uncharacterized LOC126889750
Source: RNAcentral